RNAcentral lists this ribosomal RNA (382 nucleotides) under uncultured Bacteroidales bacterium. Its description in RNAcentral is "bacterial SSU rRNA". It matches the Rfam family "Bacterial small subunit ribosomal RNA", at positions 33 to 414 of the family's 1533-position model. The record is from RNAcentral. Lineage: Bacteria; Pseudomonadati; Bacteroidota; Bacteroidia; Bacteroidales.
ACGCUAGCUACAGGCUUAACACAUGCAAGUCGAGGGGUAGCAGGGUAGCAAUACCGCUGACGACCGGCGCACGGGUGAGUAACACGUAUCCAACCUUCCCAUAACUCGGGGAUAGCCUUUCGAAAGAAAGAUUAAUACCCGAUAGUACUUAAGAAAGGCAUCUUUUUUAAGUUAAAGAUUUAUUGGUUAUGGAUGGGGAUGCGUUCCAUUAGAUAGUUGGUGAGGUAACGGCUCACCAAGUCUUCGAUGGAUAGGGGUUCUGAGAGGAAGGUCCCCCACAUUGGUACUGAGACACGGACCAAACUCCUACGGGAGGCAGCAGUGAGGAAUAUUGGUCAAUGGGCGAGAGCCUGAACCAGCCAAGUAGCGUGAAGGAUGACGG